This is a long non-coding RNA of Haplochromis burtoni (Burton's mouthbrooder), 1902 nucleotides long. RefSeq lists it as uncharacterized. Lineage: Eukaryota; Metazoa; Chordata; Actinopteri; Cichliformes; Cichlidae. The transcript has 3 exons. The record is from RefSeq and is a predicted model, not a curated record.
UACUCUAUAGAGCCUGGAGGUGACAGUUGCUGCAGGCCUAAUUGGUGAACGCCUCUGAAGGUGUUUUUACUGGCGGAGCCUGAAACUUGCUAAAUAGUUGUCCUUUAAGGGUUUUGUUUGAGAGGAGAGGAAAAGUGCUGUACUUAACCGUACAAGGAUGGAGCAGCCACUUGCCUGUACAUCGUAAUUUCAGUUGUGCGAGGUUUCACUUUCAGGAAGCCUGAGAUUUGUGUCUGUGACAGUUUGUGAUUCUAUGCAGAUCCAGUGCCAGUGAAUCAUUCUCCCUGCAUAAGGAUAAGACAGCCACAGACGUCCAUUCUGUGUGGCCUGAGAUGACCUGCGCAAAGAAGAAGAACCACCUGCUGGCGCAACUACCUCGCCCUGAAGCUGAGGAGGAAGUGCAAUGCCACCAGCUGCUGCCUCCAAAAAGACCCUGGCACAAGUACAAAAAAACUGGACUGCACCACUCAGCUGAGGAAGACGAUGAUCACGGCGAGCAACAUCAAAGCACCAGCUGACCGUCCUGUCACGCGUUAACGUUACCGUCCACACUGUGUGUCGCUGUGGAUCAGCUGUUUAUCUACUAACUGGAAGGACAAUGUUGUGGAUGAAUGUAAAAAGAACCACGUUCAGCUCAACAAGAAUCAAUCAAACAAGACUUUUUGGUGACCUUCAGAAGAUUCAGAUCCCGAAUAUUUCUCUUUCCACCAGAGGAGAAACACAGUGGAAACUGAACAGGGAUUUAAACACGGGGCAGUAAAACUGCUACAGGACGAAAAACUCUGCUUGAAGAUCUACGGCCAGCUCAGCUGAAGCUCUGGGUCUGUAUGAGUGUGACACCAUGCUGUGGAUAUUUUAUGAGCCUGUGCCAUUUCUGUGCUGUGGUCUGAUAGGGCAGCUCAUUCAGCAGCAGCGAGGAAUCGCAGACGUUAACCGGAGCGUCCGUCAGACUCCAGCAGCCCUACGUCCUUGAGUUGGACAAGCAGUUAGGAAAAUGGAUGAAUCGCUUAAUUUUUAAGUUGACUAAAUACUAAAAAACAGCUUCUGAUUUCAGUUUAAAUAUUGCUUUAGGCUCGAUGUUGUUCCUGUUAAACAGUUCUACCAUUUCCUGUAAAGAGGAAAGCCUGGCGGAAGAAAGAUGGUGUGGACGAAAGACUGGAUGGUUUCAUGAUGGUUCGACUUUCACACAGGAAUUUGUCCACUGGUGCUUUUAGACUUAAUUUUGGCCUAAUUUUGCUUUGGGAAUGAAACUUGAAGCGAGGAUCAGGGGUUGGAUUUCAGAAGGAAAAGUUUGAUUUCUGACUGGAUGAGAGAACAGAGAACACGCUGAUGUGUUUCUGAUGGUCUGUUUGAAGUUCGUCUAAUCACCCACUGGACUAACAAAUAUGCUAAAAGGUCUCCCAGCAGGUUCAACUGUGACGCUAACAGAUGCUGACCGAGCACGUUGGCACUGAGACCACCCUGUUAGCACUGACUCUAGCUAAGGUUAGCAUCACACUUGAGAACCUUUACAAAAAGGCAAUAAAGUGGCACCAGACGACAAAAGAGAUGUUUGCACGUCUAGUUCUUACUUCUAAGAUUUUUUAAAUAAAGUCUGUGUUUAACAAAAGCUUUUGAUCAUCUGUAAUAGUAGAUGAAAAUUUGACAUGGAAAUCUCAUAUUGAGUAUAUUAGAAAGAAGAUGGUUAAAAACAUUUAUAUUUUGGGAAAUGUAAGAGAUUUAUUAGAUUAUAAAACAAUGCGCAUUUUAUAUUUUUCAUUGUUUUUCUCAUAUUUUAGUUACUGUAUUGAAGUUUGGGGGAAUACAUAUGAGAAUACUAUAAAACCUCUAAACUUAUUACAGAAGAAAGUGAUACGAAUGAUUCAUAAUGUUAAAUAUAGAGAACAUACAAAUAAAUUAUUU